GAUGAACGCUGGCGGCGUGCCUAAUACAUGCAAGUAGAACGCUGAAGGCGGAGCUUGCUCUUCUGGAUGAGUUGCGAACGGGUGAGUAACGCGUAGGUAACCUGCCUUGUAGCGGGGGAUAACUAUUGGAAACGAUAGCUAAUACCGCAUGACAACAGUUAUUGCAUGAUAACUGUUUAAAAGGGGCAGCUGCUCCACUACCACAUGGACCUGAGGUGUAUUAGCUAGUUGGUGAGGUAACGGCUCAGCAAGGCGACGAUGCAUAGCCGGACUGGGACGGGGACCCGGCCCAGUGGCAUAGGGGAGGGGGCAGUAGGGAAACGUGGGGAAUGGACGGAAGUCUGAGCGAGAUACGCCGAGUGCGGGAAGAAGGUCGUCGGGUGCUAAAGGUCUGUUGUCAGGGAAGAAAGAGCGUGAGAGUGGAAAGUUCAGUGUGUGACGGUAUCUGACCAGAAAGGGACGGCUAACUACGUG
Molecule: ribosomal RNA, 474 nt
Filed under: uncultured bacterium
Lineage: Bacteria
Description: partial 16S ribosomal RNA
Rfam family: Bacterial small subunit ribosomal RNA
Source: RNAcentral